Molecule: ribosomal RNA, 253 nt
Filed under: uncultured bacterium
Lineage: Bacteria
Description: partial 16S ribosomal RNA
Rfam family: Bacterial small subunit ribosomal RNA
Source: RNAcentral
UACAGAGGUCUCAAGCGUUGUUCGGAUUCAUUGGGCGUAAAGGGUGCGUAGGCGGCGGGGCAAGUCAGGUGUGAAAUCCCAGGGCUCAACCCUGGAACUGCACUUGAUACUGCCUCGCUAGAGUACUGGAGAGGAGACUGGAAUUUACGGUGUAGCAGUGAAAUGCGUAGAGAUUGUAAGGAAGACCAGUGGCGAAGGCGAGUCUCUGGACAGUUACUGACGCUGAGGCACGAAGGCCAGGGGAGCAAACGGG